AACGAACGCUGGCGGCAGGCUUAACACAUGCAAGUCGAGCGGAGCGAGGGUGCUUGCACCUUAGCUUAGCGGCGGACGGGUGAGUAAUGCUUAGGAAUCUGCCUAUUAGUGGGGGACAACAUUCCGAAAGGAAUGCUAAUACCGCAUACGUCCUACGGGAGAAAGCAGGGGAUCUUCGGACCUUGCGCUAAUAGAUGAGCCUAAGUCGGAUUAGCUAGUUGGUGGGGUAAAGGCCUACCAAGGCGACGAUCUGUAGCGGGUCUGAGAGGAUGAUCCGCCACACUGGGACUGAGACACGGCCCAGACUCCUACGGGAGGCAGCAGUGGGGAAUAUUGGACAAUGGGGGGAACCCUGAUCUAGCCAUGCCGCGUGUGUGAAGAAGGCCUUAUGGUUGUAAAGCACUUUAAGUGAGGAGGAGGCUCUUUUGGUUAAUACCCAAGAUGAGUGGACGUUACUCGCAGAAUAAGCACCGGCUAACUCUGUGCCAGCCGCCGCCGUAA
This 501-nucleotide ribosomal RNA is filed under the name uncultured bacterium. RNAcentral's name for it is "partial 16S ribosomal RNA". It matches the Rfam family "Bacterial small subunit ribosomal RNA", at positions 29 to 523 of the family's 1533-position model. The record is from RNAcentral.